AUGCAGUCGAGCGGAUGAGUGGAGCUUGCUCCAUGAUUCAGCGGCGGACGGGUGAGUAAUGCCUAGGAAUCUGCCCGGUAGUGGGGGAUAACGUUCCGAAAGGAACGCUAAUACCGCAUACGUCCUACGGGAGAAAGCAGGGGACCUUCGGGCCUUGCGCUAUCGGAUGAGCCUAGGUCGGAUUAGCUAGUUGGUGAGGUAAUGGCUCACCAAGGCGACGAUCCGUAACUGGUCUGAGAGGAUGAUCAGUCACACUGGAACUGAGACACGGUCCAGACUCCUACGGGAGGCAGCAGUGGGGAAUAUUGGACAAUGGGCGAAAGCCUGAUCCAGCCAUGCCGCGUGUGUGAAGAAGGUCUUCGGAUUGUAAAGCACUUUAAGUUGGGAGGAAGGGUUGUACGUUAAUACCGUGCAAUUUUGACGUUACCGACAGAAUAAGCACCGGCUAACUUCGUGCCAGCAGCCGCGGUAAUACGAAGGGUGCAAGCGUUAAUCGGAAUUACUGGGCGUAAAGCGCGCGUAGGUGGUUCGUUAAGUUGGAUGUGAAAGCCCCGGGCUCAACCUGGGAACUGCAUCCAAAACUGGCGAGCUAGAGUACGG
This 600-nucleotide ribosomal RNA is filed under the name Ectopseudomonas oleovorans. Its description in RNAcentral is "bacterial SSU rRNA". It matches the Rfam family "Bacterial small subunit ribosomal RNA", at positions 55 to 651 of the family's 1533-position model. Lineage: Bacteria; Pseudomonadati; Pseudomonadota; Gammaproteobacteria; Pseudomonadales; Pseudomonadaceae. The record is from RNAcentral.